Molecule: microRNA precursor, 87 nt
Filed under: Daucus carota subsp. sativus
Lineage: Eukaryota; Viridiplantae; Streptophyta; Magnoliopsida; Apiales; Apiaceae
Description: pre miRNA mir-160
Rfam family: mir-160 microRNA precursor family
About the family: The hairpin precursors (represented here) are predicted based on base pairing and cross-species conservation -- their extents are not known. In this case the mature sequence is excised from the 5' arm of the hairpin.
Source: Rfam by way of RNAcentral
GCAUGCCUGGUUCUUCAUAUGCCACACGUAGAGACCUAUCUUUGUAUCAAAUUGCCUCCUGGGUGGCGUAUGGAGAGCCAAGCAUGC